CUAAUAAUGGCAGAUUAGUGCCUCAGCUUUAAGCGCUGAAUAUGGCCACCUUAUUAGA
This 58-nucleotide transfer RNA is filed under the name Schizopera knabeni. Its description in RNAcentral is "tRNA-Leu". The record is from RNAcentral. Lineage: Eukaryota; Metazoa; Arthropoda; Copepoda; Harpacticoida; Miraciidae.